Molecule: ribosomal RNA, 253 nt
Filed under: uncultured bacterium
Lineage: Bacteria
Description: partial 16S ribosomal RNA
Rfam family: Bacterial small subunit ribosomal RNA
Source: RNAcentral
UAAAGGGGAUGCAAGUGUUAUCCGGAAUUAUUGGGCGUAAAGCGUCUGUAGGUUGAUAUUUAAGUCUUUUGUUAAAACUUUGAGCUUAACUCAAAAACAGCAAAAGAAACUAUUUAUCUUGAGUAUGGUAGAGGUAAAGGGAAUUUCCAGUGGAGCGGUGAAAUGCGUAGAUAUUGGAAAGAACACCAACAGCGAAGGCACUUUACUGGGCCAGUACUGACACUGAGAGACGAAAGCUAGGGUAGCAAACGGG